CAGUCGUACCGGCGGAUAAUCAGCCUUUCGGGUGCGAUUCUGUGGGCGUGCUUAUAGUUAUUAAAGUCGAUGGUCAAUAGGUUAGAAUGGGUUAAAUUCGUUAAGGAUGUUGACGUAAUGGCUUUAAACGACCCGUCUUGAAACACGGACCAAGGAGUCUAGCAUAUAU
Molecule: ribosomal RNA, 169 nt
Filed under: Rhizophagus irregularis
Lineage: Eukaryota; Fungi; Glomeromycota; Glomeromycetes; Glomerales; Glomeraceae
Source: RNAcentral